Molecule: unclassified non-coding RNA, 135 nt
Filed under: uncultured Mortierellaceae
Lineage: Eukaryota; Fungi; Mortierellomycota; Mortierellomycetes; Mortierellales; Mortierellaceae
Description: sequence contains ITS1
Source: RNAcentral
UAAUAAAAGUGUUUAUGGCACUUUUAAAACAAUCCAUAUCCACCUUGUGUGCAAUGUUUUCUUAAUCUUAACACUUUAUUUUUAUUUCUUUUGUCUGAAAUAUUUUAUGAAUAUUUUUACUUAAUUCAAAAAAUA